Molecule: ribosomal RNA, 30 nt
Filed under: Aeromonas salmonicida
Lineage: Bacteria; Pseudomonadati; Pseudomonadota; Gammaproteobacteria; Aeromonadales; Aeromonadaceae
Description: 16S rRNA
Source: RNAcentral
AGGGAACCUGGGGUUGGAUCACCUCCUUAC